ACUGAUCAUGGACACUCUGGAGAAGAAAGACUUCCUGAAGGUAGGCGACUCUACCUCUCCUGUCCUGGAAUGGGCAAUGGCUGGGAGAAGAAGUGACCAGGCCCCAACCCUCUCUCUAGCCUCGCCUGAGUCUCUAAGACUUGCCAGCCCUUCUCCUGACCCCUGUACCACCUCCUCCACCUUCAUUCAUUCAGCAAGAAUGAACUGGGCUGGGGUGAAGGAACCCUGCGGGGGCAGGACGAGAGGACAAGGGAAGGAAACCAACUUCAUCAGUGUUACUCCAGAGCCUUCUGACACACACAGAAGGGGACUGUCAUAGUCACGCUUGAUCUCAUGCUCAUUCUUUUACCCCCAGUGCCUCCAUACUGAGAGGUACACAUGGGUGAACACGCACACACAGACAUGAACAGGACACGAAAGCAAAGCACAGGAACAAGCUCUGGCUCAUUCACGGAAUCAUUUAUUCACAAAUGUAUUGAGUGCCAUGCACCAGGCAUGUUUUAGGGCUGAGGAGACAGCACUGAACAAGAUGGUUAUGGUUAUGGCCCCUGUCCUCAUGAAGUUUAUAGUCUGAUGCAGAAACCAAUAAACAAGGAGGCAACCAAUAAAUACAUUCUUAGAAAGUGUAAUCUGUGCUUUGUAGGAAAGCAGUGGGGGUAGUGUAACUGAGAUUCAUGGGGGAGAGCUGAUAGGAUGGUCAGAGAAGGGGUCUUUAAAGCCCCAAAGGAUGAGGAGAGAGCCAAAGAAUGCAGAGAAGAGUGUUUGGGGUACAGAAAACAGUCAGUGCAAGGGCACUGCAGCAGGAGAGGCUUGCACAUUUGAGGAACAGGUUGGUGGUCCCUGUGGCCAGAGCAAAUUGAGAAGAGUGCCGAGGAAGAGAUGUGCUUGGAAAGGGUCAGAUUCAUGCCACUGGGAUGGGAAGAGGUAAGUGGAGGUUCACAGGAGGUUUCCUGAAGAAAUCAGCUCCUUGGCCAGGGAGUGCCAUGGCAAUCAAUUCUGAGAGGUGAGACGUCAUGGGAUGUCAGGGAGGGUGAUCAGCAGACAGGCCUGGCUGGAGUGGAAGGGUGCGAUCUGGAGGUCCCAGCCCUGUCAUGGCCUUGGGAGAAAGAAAAGGGCCACAGGUCUAAGGGCUCCAAGGCAAGGCUGAUGGGAUAGAGCUAUGGUGGGUGAAAUGGGGUGACAGGGAGGCAGGGGACACAAGCCGUUCCAUUGUCUGUCUCUCCACAGCGCCGCCCCUGGCUGGGGGCACCUCUGCAGGUGGGACUGGUGGGCUUCUGCCUGGUAUUUGCGACCCCCCUGUGCUGUGCCCUAUUCCCCCAGAAGAGGUAAGUGCUGUCCCUGGGCUGGGUGGAGGACUCUGGAUUGGACUCUGCAUCUCUGGACCAGCUAACCUAGGGUCUUCCAGUGUGUUCAGGAGGAGGCCUGGCAGGCACUCCACUGAUUCUGGGAGUGGGGGAAUGACAGUGAGCCAGUCCUUCUGGCAGUAGAAAGAGAGGAUUCUUCAGCCUGGGAGGAGGUGGGAUGGCAAUCCCUGGGCCUGAGUGGGGUUGGAUUCAGGGGACGUUAACUGACCUGUGCUGUUCUAUUGCAGCUCCAUACACGUGAGCAAGCUGGAACCAGAGCUGAGAGCUCAGAUCCAUGAGCAAAACCCCAGCGUUGAAGUGGUCUACUACAACAAAGGGCUUUGAGGAGGGUCAGCCUCUGUCCCCUCCCUCACUUCCUUGGGCUGCUGCUUUAGUGGAGUCAUGUCACCCCUGCCACUUGCCUAUUUGCCUAGCACUGGGCAGGGGCCUUGGUGGGCAGAUGGCCAUUGAGGGUAGCAACCUAUUAGGGUAGGGGAAGUACACCCAUAAGGCUUUUCCUCCCUUCUCUGGUUUCAAAGAUCAGAGCACACAACCCCUCCCUCCUGUGCUUGAGUGUCCAUGCAUAUACAUACAUGAUACACAUGUGUAUGUGUACAUUGGGUCCUGAAAGCUAGGAGCAGGCAUGCUAGCCUAGUAUGUUCUGACAUCUGGCUUCCCUUCUCAGCCUCAUGUCCACCUGCCUGCCAGCCAGGCUACAGGUGGGACUUCUUUCUCUAAACUGUUAUACCAGCCAAGUUAUUUUUGAUGGCACCUCAUCCCUUCUAGACAUAGGAGGAGCCCCAGGAUCUCAGGACAGAGACUUAUAGACACUAGUAGGACAAAGUGGGCUGAAUCCUUCAGGAUUCUGAUACCUAGCUCCCCAAGCUGACUGGGCUGGCAGAGGAGAACAUGUUGGGAUAAGGGAGGCAGGGGACUUAUGCAUCCCUCAGUGCCAUCCCUUGUAUCCUGGAAUAGCUUCAUUUCCCCUCCUCCUCUCUACCAGACAAAGGAGUGCCUGUGUCCUAUACUGCCCUCGCUAUCUCCCCCACCACCGUACUCGGUAGCGUGGGCAUCUUCAGGCACAGCCUUGGGAGUUCCUGGUGUGCUCUGACAUCAUGACCUCAAAUCUAAAUCCUCCAAUCCCAACUCCCUUUCCCAAACAAAAAGCCACAGAGGCAGAGCAAGCAUUCCCCUUUAAGAGCUUCCACUGCACCCCCUCCCAAGGGACACAGCUGUAGGAGUGGUGCUUAAACUCCACAGGUAUCAGAGAGGGUGUAACUAGGACAUCCUCAAGGGCAGCUAGGCCCCGAAUGUACAAUGUUGAGACAGGGAAUUUUGUGUUCCAUUGACUUUUUUUUUUUUUUAAUGGAGUUUCACUAUUUUGCCCAGGC
RNAcentral lists this small RNA (2734 nucleotides) under Pongo abelii (Sumatran orangutan). RNAcentral's name for it is "processed transcript". The record is from RNAcentral. Lineage: Eukaryota; Metazoa; Chordata; Mammalia; Primates; Hominidae.